RNAcentral lists this ribosomal RNA (468 nucleotides) under uncultured bacterium. RNAcentral describes it as "partial 16S ribosomal RNA". It matches the Rfam family "Bacterial small subunit ribosomal RNA", at positions 28 to 507 of the family's 1533-position model. The record is from RNAcentral.
GACGAACGCUGGCGGCGUGCUUAACACAUGCAAGUCGAACGGAAAGGCCCUGCUUUUGUGGGGUGCUCGAGUGGCGAACGGGUGAGUAACACGUGAGUAACCUGCCCUUGACUUUGGGAUAACUUCAGGAAACUGGGGCUAAUACCGGAUAGGAGCUCCUGCUGCAUGGUGGGGGUUGGAAAGUUUCGGCGGUUGGGGAUGGACUCGCGGCUUAUCAGCUUGUUGGUGGGGUAGUGGCUUACCAAGGCUUUGACGGGUAGCCGGCCUGAGAGGGUGACCGGCCACAUUGGGACUGAGAUACGGCCCGGACUCCUACGGGAGGCAGCAGUGGGGAAUAUUGCACAAUGGGCGGAAGCCUGAUGCAGCAACGCCGCGUGCGGGAUGACGGCCUUCGGGUUGUAAACCGCUUGCGCCUGUGACGAAGCGUGAGUGACGGUAAUGGGUAAAGAAGCACCGGCUAACUACGUG